UACAGAGGUCUCAAGCGUUGUUCGGAUUCAUUGGGCGUAAAGGGUGCGUAGGUGGCGCCGUAAGUCGGGUGUGAAAUUUCGGAGCUUAACUCCGAAACUGCAUUCGAUACUGCGGUGCUUGAGGACUGGAGAGGAGACUGGAAUUCAUGGUGUAGCAGUGAAAUGCGUAGAGAUCAUGAGGAAUACCAGAGGCGAAGGCGGCUACCUGGACAAUUGCUGACGCUCAGGCACGAAAGCGUGGGGAGCAAAAGGG
Molecule: ribosomal RNA, 253 nt
Filed under: uncultured bacterium
Lineage: Bacteria
Description: partial 16S ribosomal RNA
Rfam family: Bacterial small subunit ribosomal RNA
Source: RNAcentral